RNAcentral lists this ribosomal RNA (2926 nucleotides) under Salmonella enterica subsp. enterica serovar Newport. RNAcentral describes it as "bacterial LSU rRNA". It matches the Rfam family "Bacterial large subunit ribosomal RNA". Lineage: Bacteria; Pseudomonadati; Pseudomonadota; Gammaproteobacteria; Enterobacterales; Enterobacteriaceae. The record is from RNAcentral.
GGGUUGUGAGGUUAAGCGACUAAGCGUACACGGUGGAUGCCCUGGCAGUCAGAGGCGAUGAAGGGCGUGCUAAUCUGCGAUAAGCGCCGGUAAGGUGAUAUGAACCGUUAUAACCGGCGAUACCCGAAUGGGGAAACCCAGUGUGAUUCGUCACACUAUCAUUAACUGAAUCCAUAGGUUAAUGAGGCGAACCGGGGGAACUGAAACAUCUAAGUACCCCGAGGAAAAGAAAUCAACCGAGAUUCCCCCAGUAGCGGCGAGCGAACGGGGAGGAGCCCAGAGCCUGAAUCAGCAUGUGUGUUAGUGGAAGCGUCUGGAAAGGCGCGCGAUACAGGGUGACAGCCCCGUACACAAAAGCGCAUGUGCUGUGAGCUCGAUGAGUAGGGCGGGACACGUGGUAUCCUGUCUGAAUAUGGGGGGACCAUCCUCCAAGGCUAAAUACUCCUGACUGACCGAUAGUGAACCAGUACCGUGAGGGAAAGGCGAAAAGAACCCCGGCGAGGGGAGUGAAAAAGAACCUGAAACCGUGUACGUACAAGCAGUGGAGCACAGGUUUACCUGUGUGACUGCGUACCUUUUGUAUAAUGGGUCAGCGACUUAUAUUCUGUAGCAAGGUUAACCGUAUAGGGGAGCCGUAGGGAAACCGAGUCUUAACCGGGCGUUAAGUUGCAGGGUAUAGACCCGAAACCCGGUGAUCUAGCCAUGGGCAGGUUGAAGGUUGGGUAACACUAACUGGAGGACCGAACCGACUAAUGUUGAAAAAUUAGCGGAUGACCUGUGGCUGGGGGUGAAAGGCCAAUCAAACCGGGAGAUAGCUGGUUCUCCCCGAAAGCUAUUUAGGUAGCGCCUCGUGAAUUCAUCUCCGGGGGUAGAGCACUGUUUCGGCUAGGGGGCCAUCCCGGCUUACCAACCCGAUGCAAACUGCGAAUACCGGAGAAUGUUAUCACGGGAGACACACGGCGGGUGCUAACGUCCGUCGUGAAGAGGGAAACAACCCAGACCGCCAGCUAAGGUCCCAAAGUCAUGGUUAAGUGGGAAACGAUGUGGGAAGGCCCAGACAGCCAGGAUGUUGGCUUAGAAGCAGCCAUCAUUUAAAGAAAGCGUAAUAGCUCACUGGUCGAGUCGGCCUGCGCGGAAGAUGUAACGGGGCUAAACCAUGCACCGAAGCUGCGGCAGCGACACUGUGUGUUGUUGGGUAGGGGAGCGUUCUGUAAGCCUGUGAAGGUGUGUCGUGAGGCAUGCUGGAGGUAUCAGAAGUGCGAAUGCUGACAUAAGUAACGAUAAAGCGGGUGAAAAGCCCGCUCGCCGGAAGACCAAGGGUUCCUGUCCAACGUUAAUCGGGGCAGGGUGAGUCGACCCCUAAGGCGAGGCCGAAAGGCGUAGUCGAUGGGAAACAGGUUAAUAUUCCUGUACUUGGUGUUACUGCGAAGGGGGACGGAGAAGGCUAUGUUGGCCGGGCGACGGUUGUCCCGGUUUAAGCGUGUAGGUGUGUGUUCCAGGUAAAUCCGGUUCACUUUAACACUGAGGCGUGAUGACGAGGCACUACGGUGCUGAAGCAACAAAUGCCCUGCUUCCAGGAAAAGCCUCUAAGCAUCAGGUAACAUCAAAUCGUACCCCAAACCGACACAGGUGGUCAGGUAGAGAAUACCAAGGCGCUUGAGAGAACUCGGGUGAAGGAACUAGGCAAAAUGGUGCCGUAACUUCGGGAGAAGGCACGCUGACACGUAGGUGAAGUGAUUUACUCAUGGAGCUGAAGUCAGUCGAAGAUACCAGCUGGCUGCAACUGUUUAUUAAAAACACAGCACUGUGCAAACACGAAAGUGGACGUAUACGGUGUGACGCCUGCCCGGUGCCGGAAGGUUAAUUGAUGGGGUCAGCGCAAGCGAAGCUCCUGAUCGAAGCCCCGGUAAACGGCGGCCGUAACUAUAACGGUCCUAAGGUAGCGAAAUUCCUUGUCGGGUAAGUUCCGACCUGCACGAAUGGCGUAAUGAUGGCCAGGCUGUCUCCACCCGAGACUCAGUGAAAUUGAACUCGCUGUGAAGAUGCAGUGUACCCGCGGCAAGACGGAAAGACCCCGUGAACCUUUACUAUAGCUUGACACUGAACAUUGAGCCUUGAUGUGUAGGAUAGGUGGGAGGCUUUGAAGCGUGGACGCCAGUCUGCGUGGAGCCGACCUUGAAAUACCACCCUUUAAUGUUUGAUGUUCUAACGUGGACCCGUAAUCCGGGUUGCGGACAGUGUCUGGUGGGUAGUUUGACUGGGGCGGUCUCCUCCUAAAGAGUAACGGAGGAGCACGAAGGUUGGCUAAUCCUGGUCGGACAUCAGGAGGUUAGUGCAAUGGCAUAAGCCAGCUUGACUGCGAGCGUGACGGCGCGAGCAGGUGCGAAAGCAGGUCAUAGUGAUCCGGUGGUUCUGAAUGGAAGGGCCAUCGCUCAACGGAUAAAAGGUACUCCGGGGAUAACAGGCUGAUACCGCCCAAGAGUUCAUAUCGACGGCGGUGUUUGGCACCUCGAUGUCGGCUCAUCACAUCCUGGGGCUGAAGUAGGUCCCAAGGGUAUGGCUGUUCGCCAUUUAAAGUGGUACGCGAGCUGGGUUUAGAACGUCGUGAGACAGUUCGGUCCCUAUCUGCCGUGGGCGCUGGAGAACUGAGGGGGGCUGCUCCUAGUACGAGAGGACCGGAGUGGACGCAUCACUGGUGUUCGGGUUGUCAUGCCAAUGGCACUGCCCGGUAGCUAAAUGCGGAAGAGAUAAGUGCUGAAAGCAUCUAAGCACGAAACUUGCCCCGAGAUGAGUUCUCCCUGAGACUUAGAGUCUCCUGAAGGAACGUUGAAGACGACGACGUUGAUAGGCCGGGUGUGUAAGCGCAGCGAUGCGUUGAGCUAACCGGUACUAAUGAACCGUGAGGCUUAACCUUACAACGCCGAAG